This is a non-coding RNA of Schistosoma haematobium, 45 nucleotides long. Lineage: Eukaryota; Metazoa; Platyhelminthes; Trematoda; Strigeidida; Schistosomatidae. The record is from Rfam.
AUCCAGCUGAAGAGUCUCAAAUAGGACGAAAUAGGUGUCUUGGAC